GGGGGGGGGGGGGGGGGGGGGGGGGGGGGGGGGGGCGGGGGGGGAGGGCCUGCGUGCGGUGUGCGCGCGGGGCGAACGGGGGAGUGAGACGUGGGGGCGCUGCCCUUCAGUUCGGGAUGGGCCUGGGACAAUGGGGCUCAUACCGGAGAGGCGCCCUUUUUCGUGUGAUGGGUGGUGAGUGUUUUCGGUGUAGGAUGAGCGCGCGGCCUUGCCGCUUUUUGGUGGGGGCAUGGCCUACCCAGGCGGCGCCGGGUAGCCGGCCUGCGAGGGUGGACGGCCACAUUGGGACUGAGAGACGGCCCAGACUCCUACGGGAGGCAGCAGUGGGGAAUAUUGCACAAUGGGCGCAAGCCUGAUGCAGCGACGCCGCGUGGGGGAUGACGGCCUUCGGGUUGUAAACUCCUUUCGCUAGGGACGAAGCUUUUUGUGACGGUACCUAGAGAAGAAGCACCGGCUAACUACGUG
This 465-nucleotide ribosomal RNA is filed under the name uncultured bacterium. RNAcentral describes it as "partial 16S ribosomal RNA". The stretch from base 56 to 465 matches the Rfam family "Bacterial small subunit ribosomal RNA", at positions 39 to 507 of the family's 1533-position model. The record is from RNAcentral.